RNAcentral lists this long non-coding RNA (3002 nucleotides) under Amborella trichopoda. RNAcentral's name for it is "long non-coding RNA (ATRI_LNC002908)". Lineage: Eukaryota; Viridiplantae; Streptophyta; Magnoliopsida; Amborellales; Amborellaceae. The record is from RNAcentral.
CAUGUUUUCUUUACGUCUUUGUGACUCGAGAUCUAAGACUGUAAACCCAUCUCUCUAUCGAAUCCCAUCUGGGCCAUCUCUCUCCCUCAUCACUCUCUGCGCCAUUGUUCUGCGCCAAGCCACCGUUGCUUUUCUACAAGUGCUCCUCUGUCUCGCUGUUGAAGUUCAAUCACUCCAAAUAGGUAAGCCUAAUCUUUUUCCUAAUUUUAUUUAUUGUUAUCAGUUUUUCUAGGGUUCUUGGGAGCAGAAAAACAGAUCCACCAAAAUGUAGCUUUCUCUCUCCUCUAUUAUUUUUUCUGAUUUUGUACUUUUGUUGAAGCACUUCGAAUCCCCUACAGAAACCCUAAAUUUAUCUUUAAUUUUCUUGCUCAAAUCCGUAUAUUUUGAUGGCUUAACAAAGGGACCUCAGAAGAACCUGUAAAAUCUGCAAAAAUCUGGGAUAUCUAUCACAUUUAUUUGUUUUUGUUUUUAUUUAUUUAUUAUUGCUGUUAGGGAUCUUCGUUCCCCACAAAAAUCCUAAAUCUCAGGUAAGCCUAAUUCCUUGUUUAAUCCCAUGCUUUUGAGAUCCCAUGGUGAUUGGGUACGUUUUCCUUUUAUUUAGAACCAUUUCUCCAUCUCAAGAGUGCUUGAUUUUAGAGAAAGAAACCUUUUUUCUUCAACCUUUUUUUCUUUUCUUGCUGUGGUUCCAUGGAAGUUACUGUAAUUGGAUGUUGUGGUUUCAAUUGUGUUAAUUAUGUGGAUUUCGGUUUCUGUUCAUAGAGGAAUGAACCAUCUUCCUCUCUCUCUUUCUUGAAGUUGCUUUAAUUGGAUGUUUUGUGGUGGUUCUGCAAAUUUGUGGGUUCUGGCUAGUUCAUGGGGAAAUGAAUCUCUCUCUGUUGUUUGAAUGCUUAUUUUUGGGGUUUUAGAAAUUACUGCCUUCAAUGGUUGUUGCAGCAUAUGUUUGUUUACUGAGCAUAGUUCUUGACCCUUGAUCAAAUUUGCUUGUCUUUUUUAUUAUAAAGAAUUGACUGUCAUAUAGAAAUUUGCUUGUCUUUUUUAUUAUAAAGAAUUGACUCAUUUAUUUCUAUAUAUCGAUUCUAUCUGCUGUGGUUUCUUCUGAUAUGAUUGUUUUGAUAUGCGUUUAGUGCUAAAAUAAUGUUUACAUGGAAUGUUUUGGAGCUAGCCAUUGGAUAGUUGUCACUGAGAAUUGCUUCCCAUAGUCCUAAGUUGAUAUUGUGACUAUUUUACUGAUGAUUUAAUUUAUUUCUGAUGAUCUACUCUGUGUUCUUGGCUUCAGCAAUCUAGUUCUAAAAUUCUAGUGCUUUUGAUGAAAAUAUUUGAAUGGAUGCUAUCAAAGGAGUUUGGAAUUAGAUAAAACCACCUUAUAUGUGAAUCAUGAUCAUGUGAACUGUAUCAAUAAGAUUGAUUUGCCAAAGGAAUUGGUUUGCUAUUUUUACUGAGUUUAUUUAUUUUCUUGAAUCAUGUGAACUAUUUAGUUUCUUGAAUCACUGUAUUUCUCUUAUUUUAUGCUACUGUUGUGGUGCAUUUCUAGAAUUCUAGUGCUAUUUUCUUUUUUUGAUUCUGCUGUGUUCUUUUUUGUUAGCAAAAUGUCUAAUGUAAGAGAACUUUUUGAUAUAGUAAGAAUUGUUUUUCUCAUUAUAGGUAUGGACAACAAACAUGCCCUUGUUUCCUUCUUGUUCUUUUUGUUCCUUCCGCAUUCGAUUUUGAGUGGGAUAUGAGGGCAAGAGCAUGGUUUGUUUUUACAAUUAAUGGACUACUUUCUGUUCAUCGACUCUUCCUCUAGUCGGAUUUUAUAGGGAGUGCAAUGGUAGAAUUUGGUGAACUACUUACAUACGAGGCUUCAAGGGAUCGGUUGGUGAGCUAGUUGUUCAAAACUUCAAAUCUUUUAGUUGGGGAAGGCAAAAUUAUUUGAUUCUGACCUUAUAUGAAGUUCCCAUGGUUUUUUAGUUUUUUAUAUGGGCACAGUAUUUUAAAACAAUUGGCUGUUGUUGCAGAUGCCAUUUAGAGAAUGAUGGUUGUGCUGUUUGAAUCUGCAUAACCAUGUGCUUGUAAGUUUUAUGUGUUCUGAACACCUCGGGAACCUAGAAUCAUUGGCAUCUUGAGGGACAUGAAUAAACUCCCGCAAUUCCAUGUUAUUACUUUUUGUUGUUCGCAUCACAUUACCAAAAAUAUCUAUUCGUUUGUUUUGGAUCUGGUGCAUCUAUUGUAUUUCUUAUGGCACUAGUACAUAAUGUUGUUUUUCUGAUUAAGGGAGUGGAUAGUCAGGACGUGUGAUGGCUCUUCAUACUGCUCACAUGAAUUAUCAUUGUGAUUCUCAAGAGAGUAUCCCUUUACUGAAGGUCUGAUUAAGCUGAUUCAUUAUUUCUGUUGACCAGAAUACAGCCUAACUCAUGGUUUUUGUUUUUCAAUGUACUAUGUUGUUUAUCACCAGGAAUUUAUUUCAUAACAUGCAUGUAAAAGAUCAUCUCAUAAACCGCUAGGAUUUUAGUUAAUUUGUACUUGAUAUUUAAUUGUUGAAUUCUUACUGUGCAGCCUACUGUUGGUUGACGGACUUUAUUUUUAAUUAGAUGUAUGGGGUCUCUGAAAUUGAUGUUAAUUAGAUGUAUGGGGUCUCUGAAAUUGAUGUUAAUUAGAUGGAUGGGGUCUCUGAAAUUGAUGUUAAUUAGAUGUAUGGGGUCUCUUGUUACGAAACUGAUGUAAGGAUAUGGGGUCUCUGAAAUUCAUGCAAGGAUAUGGGGUUUCUCUUAGUUGAGAAUGAUGAAACUCUUGUAUAUACAGGUCUCAACAUUUUAUGGAAUGAGGGCCUCCCAUUUUCAUUUAAAUCAUGUCGCCUUUUUUUUAUUGCUAGCCUUUUCUUACAUCAAUAGAUAAUCUUAUUGUUUAUUUCCCCUUUAAAACUUCCUAACUUCAUAUGUGCCUUGUUCUUGACAUUUUUAAUUAUUAUUAUUUUUUUCUAUUGAAAAAUUAUUUUCAUGAUCUUUACCAUGAUGUGCCAAAUUUAG